AUGAAGGAGACGGGACUGGAUGCUUAUAGAUUCUCUAUCUCUUGGUCAAGGCUUAUUCCUAAUGGAAGAGGAGAAAUCAAUCCAAAAGGAGUAGAAUACUACAACAAUCUCAUCAAUGAACUUCUUGAUCAUGGAAUUCAACCACAUGCAACGAUAUUUCAGUAUGAUCUUCCUCAGAUCCUUGAAGAUGAAUAUGGUGGAUGGUUGAGUCCCCAAAUAAUUGGUGAUUUCACAGCAUAUGCAGAUGUGUGCUUUAGGGAAUUUGGGGAUAGGGUUACCAAUUGGACUACUCUAAAUGAACCUAACGCUUUAGUUUCACUUGGAUAUGAUGCUGGUAUCGGGCCACCAGGGAGAUGUUCUAAACCAUUUGGAUUUGCUAACUGCUCCUUUGGGGACUCUGUAAACGAGCCAUACAUUGUAGCUCGUAAUUGCUUAUUGGCUCAUAGCUCAGCUGUGUCACUAUACAGAAGAAAGUAUCAGGCAAAGCAACAGGGACUUAUUGGCAUGAAUAUCUUUAUAAAUAACAUAUUACCUUAUACAAAUUCAACGGAAGAUAUAGCUGCAGCGAAAAGAGCACAAGCUUUCUACACAGGCUGGUAG
This 600-nucleotide ribosomal RNA is filed under the name Triticum aestivum (bread wheat). RNAcentral describes it as "partial small subunit ribosomal RNA". Lineage: Eukaryota; Viridiplantae; Streptophyta; Magnoliopsida; Poales; Poaceae. The record is from RNAcentral.